CGCUGGAGGGGCCUCCCAGGACCCCGGGCAGGGGCAGGUCCUUCAGCAGCUCGCUGGUGAUCACCUUGUCUGGGGACACCUGGGGUCACCUGGGCUCAGGGACCCUCACCUGGGCUCACCUGGGCUCAGAGACCCUCACCUGGGCACAGGGACCCUCACCUGGGCUCAGGGACCCUCACCUGGGCUCACCUGGGCACAGGGACCCUCACCUGGGCUCACCUGGGCUCAGGGACCCUCACCUGGGCUCAGGGACCCUCACCUGGGCUCACCUGGGCUCAGGGACCCUCACCUGGGCUCACCUGGGCUCAGGGACCCUCACCUGGGCUCACCUGGGCACAGGGACCCUCACCUGGGCACAGGAACCCCCACCUGGGCUCAGGGACCCUCACCUGGGCUCACCCGGGCACAGGGACCCUCACCUGGGCUCACCUGGGCUCAGGUACAGCCUCACCUGGGCAAGUCACCCCAGGCUUGCCCAGCCCCUGGAGCAGCUCUCUGUCCCCAAGGCCACAGAGGUGCCACCAAGGACAGGUGGGACAGGUGCCACAGGUGUGACAGGUGCCACCAAUGACAGGUGGGACAGGUGCCACAGGUGGGACAGGUGCCACCAAUGACAGGUGGGACAGGUGCCACAGGUGGGACAGGUGCCACCCCUGACAAGUGUUCCAGGUGUGACAGGUGUCCCAGGUAUCACACCUGACAGGUACCACAGUGUGACAGGUGCCACCCCACCAGGUGUCCCAGGUGUCCCAGGUCCCACAGGUGCCACCCCUCCAGGUGUCCCAGGUGCCACCCCUCCAGGUGUCCCAGGUGUGACAGGUCCCACAGGUUGCCAUCCCACCAGGUGUCCCAGGUCCCACAGGUGCCACCCCACCAGGUGUCCCAGGUGUGACAGGUCCCACAGGUGCCACCCCACCAGGUGUGACAGGUCCCACAGGUGCCACCCCUCCAGGUGUCCCAGGUGUGACAGGUCCCACAGGUGCCACCCCACCAGGUGUCCCAGGUGUCACUCACCAUCCUCUCCUCCUUCCUCCUCCACCUGGU
Long non-coding RNA from Serinus canaria (Common canary), 1044 nucleotides. RefSeq lists it as uncharacterized. The transcript has 5 exons. The record is from RefSeq and is a predicted model, not a curated record. Lineage: Eukaryota; Metazoa; Chordata; Aves; Passeriformes; Fringillidae.